Molecule: long non-coding RNA, 1117 nt
Filed under: Homo sapiens (human)
Lineage: Eukaryota; Metazoa; Chordata; Mammalia; Primates; Hominidae
Description: HSALNT0163096
Source: RNAcentral
UUUUCUCCUUUUUCAUGAUUAGUCUUGCCAGAAGUUUACCAGCUUUGGUUUUGUUAAUAUUUUUAUUCUAUUGUAUGCCUAUCUGAUUUAGUUUUUAUUGUGGUAGAAUAUACGUAACAUAAAAUUUACCAUUUUUAUGUGUACAAUUUAGUAGCAUUAAAUACAUUCAUGUUAUGCAACCAUCACCAGUAUCUAUUUCAAUAACUUAGAAAUAAACAAUUUUAUAAGGAGAUCCAAGAAAGUGACUUUACCUCCUCAAGACAACUUCUCUCCUGAAAAUAGGAUGGAUGGAGAUUUCAGAAUAGAUAUUUACAAGCUCAUUAGAAGUUCUCAAUAUCAUGCCCAUUUUUAAAGCUCUGACCUAUUUCACAGUAAGAUGGCCUUAACUAGUAAUUAAUAAAUGUCAUUUACAAGAAGAAUGUAUAACUGCAUUAAAUCCUCAUCCAAAUACAUGUCAACAGCCCAUCAAGCAGCAUCAUAUAGAUGAAAUUGCUGGUUUCAUCCCAAGGCUCAUUGAAUUAUAAUGCUGUUUAUAAAGAUUAACUCACCAAUGAAUGGCAUCUCAAUUUAUAGCAACUGGUUUAGUCUCUGAAAUGUGUCCACCUCGUCAACAGUCACACUCACUUAUCCAUUUUCCCUCCUAUUAUUAUUAAUUAGAAAUGAUACAAUCAGUCCUUACCAGUACAGAAAGCUGUCGACAUUCUCUCCAUCUUAGAAAACAUGAGGGAUCCAGUCUGUGAUGAGCAGGUCAUUAAGUGCUGUGAUGCAUGGGUCUCCAUGAAAACAUGAUUCCUUUCUGAUUUUUAAAAAAUGCAUAGGAUUGAGGAGGAGAGGAAAAAGGAAGAAGUAAUCCUAUUUUUACAUCUUAUCCAAAUAUGAAGAUAACAUUGGAAAACUUGGCCAGUCGCUGCUCUCCUAUACUCCGCUUCAUCUCCCUGCAGAGGAGAGAGGAGCCAGAAGCAAGCACCAGCUUUCCCAUCACAUUCUUCCCUGGUCGACUCUCUGAUUAGCAUGGAUUAAGAAAGCCUUCACUGCCUGCACGCAUCGCAUUCCCUCAGACUAUAAACGUUUCUUCUAAAGACUGAAAGUCCCACCCGAAGUCCUUCUGUGGUGUUAG